RNAcentral lists this unclassified non-coding RNA (157 nucleotides) under uncultured Leptodiscella. RNAcentral describes it as "partial internal transcribed spacer 2". Lineage: Eukaryota; Fungi; Ascomycota. The record is from RNAcentral.
GGUCUUUCAAGCCUGGCUUGGUGUUGGAGCGCGCCCUCUCACGAGCGGCGGCUCUCGAAAUCAUCGGCGGUGCCGGUGCGGCCUGGAAGCGCAGCAAAAUGCGAAGCCUACCCACCGAUACCCGCCGGAUCAAACGUCUUCGGACACUUUUUUCACA